AGCGAACGCUGGCGGCAGGCCUAACACAUGCAAGUCGAACGCCCCUUCGGGGGAGUGGCGGCCGGGUGAGUAACGCGUGGGAAUGUGCCCUUUGGUACGGAACAACUGAGGGAAACUUCAGCUCAUACCGUAUGUGCUCUACGGGGGAAAGAUUUAGCGCCAUUGGAGCAGCCCGCGUUGGAUUAGGUAGUUGGUGGGGUAAUGGCCCACCAAGCCGACGAUCCAUAGCUGGUCUGAGAGGAUGAUCAGCCACACUGGGACUGCGACACGGCCCAGACUCCUACGGGAGGCAGCAGUGGGGAAUCUUGCGCAAUGGGCGAAAGCCUGACGCAGCCAUGCCGCGUGAAUGAGGAAGGUCUUAGGAUUGUAAAAUUCUUUCACCGGGGAAGAUAAUGACGGUACCCGGAGAAGAAGCCCCGGCUAACUUCGUG
Molecule: ribosomal RNA, 431 nt
Filed under: uncultured bacterium
Lineage: Bacteria
Description: partial 16S ribosomal RNA
Rfam family: Bacterial small subunit ribosomal RNA
Source: RNAcentral